Molecule: ribosomal RNA, 276 nt
Filed under: uncultured bacterium
Lineage: Bacteria
Description: partial 16S ribosomal RNA
Source: RNAcentral
CUGCUGCCUUCCGUAGGAGUCUGGUCCGUGUCUCAGUACCAGUGUGGGGGGCCUUCCUCUCAGAACCCCUACGCAUCGUCGCCUCGGUGGGCCGUUACCCCGCCGACUAGCUAAUGCGCCGCAUGCCCAUCCGUGGCCGGGAUUGCUCCCUUUGGCGGCCUUGGGAUGUCCCUAGGCCGCGUUACGCGGUAUUAGACGGGGUUUCCCCCGCUUAUCCCCCUGCCACGGGCAGGUUGCAUACGUGUUACUCACCCGUGCGCCGGUCGCCGGCAACGG